GAGAUCCUCACUUUAGGAGCAAGACCUGGUUGAGAUGAAUAGACUUUCUGUGUGGACUUUUAUGCAGCUGGCAGAGCAGCCCUUGACCCAGCUGUAAGAUGCCACUUGGAGCAAAGGUGUUAGUCAAAUGCAAUGCCAGGUGGACCACAGGCUCAGACAGACACAGACAUGACAGGCCUAGCGUUGUUCUCUUGGGACAUGGAACUUUACCCCUGCAUAGAAGAAGCCUUUGCUUACACCAAAGCUGAAAAACAUUGUGAAGACUAUACCUCCUAGUAGCACCACCUCCGACCCACCCACUGAUGACAUCACUACCAGCACCCUCUGAUGCCAUCCUAUC
Polypterus senegalus (gray bichir) is the source of this 340-nucleotide long non-coding RNA. RefSeq lists it as uncharacterized. The record is from RefSeq and is a predicted model, not a curated record. The transcript is spliced from 3 exons. NCBI's taxonomy places the organism in Eukaryota, Metazoa, Chordata, Cladistia, Polypteriformes, Polypteridae.